UACGGGGGGGGCAAGCGUUGUUCGGAAUUACUGGGCGUAAAGGGCUCGUAGGCGGCCAACUAAGUCAGACGUGAAAUCCCUCGGCUUAACCGGGGAACUGCGUCUAAUACUGGAUGGCUUGAAUCCGGGAGAGGGAUGCGGAAUUCCAGGUGUAGCGGUGAAAUGCGUAGAUAUCUGGAGGAACACCGGUGGCGAAGGCGGCAUCCUGGACCGGCAUUGACGCUGAGGAGCGAAAGCCAGGGGAGCAAACGGG
RNAcentral lists this ribosomal RNA (253 nucleotides) under uncultured bacterium. RNAcentral describes it as "partial 16S ribosomal RNA". It matches the Rfam family "Bacterial small subunit ribosomal RNA", at positions 524 to 776 of the family's 1533-position model. The record is from RNAcentral.